GUAUAAGGAAAUCUGUUGCACUUAAAUUAAAAAGGAAACAGCCUAGAGCGGCCUGAUGGGUACAGUUUGAAUGCUUUUCUGCCACUGGAGGCUUUACUCAAAUCUGCUUUAAUUUUUCCACCUGGCCUGCUUGUCAGGAAGUUCCAAGGUAAAAGUUCUCAAGUACUUUCUCAAUGAUGAGGAAGAGAGGUGAAGUGGCAAGAAAGCUGGGAUGGUUUGAGAAUUGUAUCCACCUACUAAAAGUCAAGAAAAGAAGGAGGAAGAAGAGGAGAAGAAUGAGCAAGAACAGAAGACCCUCACAAAUGGCACAAGAGCCAGAGUAAGUUGAAGCAAAAGGGUGUGAUUAAACAGAGGAUGAUGGCCAAGACAAAACAGAAUAACGCACCAGGGUCAAAGCAGAAGAUGAAAUAGAAAAUAAUGAGUCAAAUUUCAAAUCUCUGCCUAUAGAAUAUUCUUCGUAUAUAUAUAUAUUUUUUUAAUAUUUUAUUUUUUCUUUUUCUCCCCAAAGCCCCCCGGUACAUAGUUGGGUAUUUUUAGUUGUGGGUCCUUCUAGUUGUGGCAUGUGGGAUGCCGCCUCAGCAUGGCUUGAUGAGCUGUGCCACGUCCACGCCCAGGAUUCGAACUGGUGAAACCACAGGCUGCCGAAGAACAGCACGCGAACCCAACCACUCGACCGUGGGGCCGGCCCCUCUUCAUAUAUUUUCUUAAAGAGAGGUGCAUCAUUUGUGAAGCAUGAAUAGUGUCAAGAACUGGCCCUCAACUUAAAAAUUAGCAAAGUUGCCUUCCACUCAAAAUAAGAGCUGUUGUUUAUCCUGUGUACUUUUUAAGUUUACCUUAAUCACAAGGUUUUGGGGAAGGAAAGAGGGUACUAUAGGAGUGUCAGUCUUGAUCAAUUUUUAUCUUUUCUCUGUCUCAUACAGCAGUAAAUAUUAUUCAGCAUGGAUGUCCAGGUCAGCUGAGGGCUGCUGAUCUAGGUGGGCUCGCCUAGAUGGCUUUGCAGAUCUUGACUGGAGCACUCAGGCAUCUCUCCUCCUCUUGAGUAAGACAUGUGUGUUCUCAUGGCAAUGAGCAAGCUUAGUUACAUAGGUGUUUCUCACACCUCUGCUAACACUCUUGACAGAGCAAGUCACUACACCAGGAACAUACGAUACGGUGGGAGAAGCUUCGAAGUUACAUGAUAAAGGGAGUGGAUAUGUGGCGGGAUAACGAAUUGGAGACAUUCCUCCAAUCUCCCACACUCUUAUUGUUUUCAAUUCUUUAUUAAUCUGUUCAUUAAAAAUUUGCUGAGUGUUGUGAACAUCUGUCAUAAUCAUGGUGACUCCUCCUUUUAUUUGCACAUCAUUUUGUAAACAGUUUUCCUCUAUCUGGGGGGAAAUGUCCAUGAUUUGAUGCCAGAAGACAAAGGCAUAAAGCAGGUGCUGCCUGUGGCUUGGAGCUUCCAUUUUGCUCGUCAUGGUGGCAAAGAAGACCUGGUUGGCAGGAGCCACAGCAGGGUCUCUCCAGUGGUAGCCAAGUCAAAGUAUUCAUGCAGAAGUUGUAUUGGGCCUGUGACAGUAGCAACUGCAAUAAAGAUAAAUUUCUG
Long non-coding RNA from Equus asinus (donkey), 1582 nucleotides. Lineage: Eukaryota; Metazoa; Chordata; Mammalia; Perissodactyla; Equidae. The record is from Ensembl.